UUUCUUUUCCAGGGAAGUGGUGGUGAGUCACAUGAUAUUCAUAUUAACGUGGGACAAACAUAAUGCUAACUGAUCUAAGCUUAGGAAAGCCUGAAAGGACAAGACAAGCUUUAGAACAGGAGAAAACCUACAUAUUCUUGCCCCACAAGCCCAUAGAGUUGAUCUUCCUCAUCUUCUAGACCACAGUGCCCCACCAAGACCCACC
This 205-nucleotide long non-coding RNA is filed under the name Elaeis guineensis (African oil palm). RNAcentral's name for it is "long non-coding RNA (EGUI_LNC013499)". The record is from RNAcentral. Lineage: Eukaryota; Viridiplantae; Streptophyta; Magnoliopsida; Arecales; Arecaceae.